UCUCUGGUAGUAUAUCGGUUAGUACACGCGCCUGUCACGAUUUUUCCUGAAAACAUUUCGCGCGAAAGCUGGGUUCGACUCCCAGCCAGAGAG
Non-coding RNA from Armillaria luteobubalina, 93 nucleotides. NCBI's taxonomy places the organism in Eukaryota, Fungi, Basidiomycota, Agaricomycetes, Agaricales, Physalacriaceae. The record is from the annotation of a GenBank genome assembly.